AUGACUGACAGAGACUUGGCAAAUAAAAGAACAUCUGCUGAAGGUGUGCGGCUGAUAUGGAGAAUAUGUCAAGUCAACUGGAUGAGUCAGCACGGGCAACAUAAAGGACUGCAGUUAAAAGCUAGGGCUAGGACUUGGAGGAUGUGUAGGCAAACGGAAGGAGAGCCGGGGGAAGAAAAACCGAAAUGGAUUCAUUCUCCGUCCUGGAUGGAGGAGGAGAGGAGAGGAGAAGGGGACGUGCGAGCUUCCUUCAGCUGCCUCUGUCCGGUGAAAAGUGCUCGAAGCCCCGGGGCUGCCUCGGGCUCAGGAGUCCGCGCGGACUUUCGCUGUAAGCUGCCAAUCAAACUGCUAACUAGCCACCACCCUGCUCUGGCAAGGACAUGUAAGUAG
RNAcentral lists this long non-coding RNA (390 nucleotides) under Anser cygnoides (Swan goose). RNAcentral's name for it is "lncRNA (ENSACDG00005000156.1)". The stretch from base 114 to 382 matches the Rfam family "SOX2 overlapping transcript exon 3". From Rfam's summary of the family: SOX2 overlapping transcript (SOX2OT) is a long non-coding RNA, containing at least 5 exons. The SOX2 gene, an important regulator of neurogenesis, lies within one of the introns of SOX2OT. SOX2OT and SOX2DOT (an isoform of SOXOT transcribed from a distal highly conserved element) are expressed in zones of neurogenesis within the brain. The record is from RNAcentral. Lineage: Eukaryota; Metazoa; Chordata; Aves; Anseriformes; Anatidae.